AGAGUUUGAUCCUGGCUCAGGACGAACGCUGGCGGUGUGCUUAACACAUGCAAGUCGAACGGAAAGGCCCUUCGGGGUACUCGAGUGGCGAACGGGUGAGUAACACGUGGGUGAUCUGCCCUGCACUUUGGGAUAAGCCUGGGAAACUGGGUCUAAUACCGAAUAUGACCAUGCACUUCCUGGUGUGUGGUGGAAAGCUUUUGCGGUGUGGGAUGGGCCCGCGGCCUAUCAGCUUGUUGGUGGGGUAAUGGCCUACCAAGGCGACGACGGGUAGCCGGCCUGAGAGGGUGACCGGCCACACUGGGACUGAGAUACGGCCCAGACUCCUACGGGAGGCAGCAGUGGGGAAUAUUGCACAAUGGGCGCAAGCCUGAUGCAGCGACGCCGCGUGAGGGAUGACGGCCUUCGGGUUGUAAACCUCUUUCAGCACAGACGAAGCGCAAGUGACGGUAUGUGCAGAAGAAGGACCGGCCAACUACGUGCCAGCAGCCGCGGUAAUACGUAGGGUCCGAGCGUUGUCCGGAAUUACUGGGCGUAAAGAGCUCGUAGGUGGUUUGUCGCGUUGUUCGUGAAAACUCACAGCUUAACUGUGGGCGUGCGGGUGAUACGGGCAGACUUGAGUACUGCAGGGGAGACUGGAAUUCCUGGUGUAGCGGUGAAAUGCGUAGA
RNAcentral lists this ribosomal RNA (669 nucleotides) under uncultured bacterium. RNAcentral's name for it is "bacterial SSU rRNA". It matches the Rfam family "Bacterial small subunit ribosomal RNA", at positions 8 to 694 of the family's 1533-position model. The record is from RNAcentral.